GACGAACGCUGGCGGCGUGCUUAACACAUGCAAGUCGAACGGAAAGGCCCUGCUUGCAGGGUACUCGAGUGGCGAACGGGUGAGUAACACGUGGGUGAUCUGCCCUGCACUUCGGGAUAAGCCUGGGAAACUGGGUCUAAUACCGGAUAGGAGCCAUUUUUAGUGUGAUGGUUGGAAAGUUUUUUCGGUGUAGGAUGAGCUCGCGGCCUAUCAGCUUGUUGGUGGGGUAAUGGCCUACCAAGGCGGCGACGGGUAGCCGGCCUGAGAGGGUGGACGGCCACAUUGGGACUGAGAUACGGCCCAGACUCCUACGGGAGGCAGCAGGGGGGAAUAUUGCACAAUGGGCGCAAGCCUGAUGCAGCGACGCCGCGUGGGGGAUGACGGCCUUCGGGUUGUAAAAUCCUUUCGCUAGGGACGAAGCUUUUUGUGACGGUACCUAGAUAAGAAGCACCGGCUAACUACGUG
This 465-nucleotide ribosomal RNA is filed under the name uncultured bacterium. RNAcentral's name for it is "partial 16S ribosomal RNA". It matches the Rfam family "Bacterial small subunit ribosomal RNA", at positions 28 to 507 of the family's 1533-position model. The record is from RNAcentral.